GAUGAACGCUAGCGACAGGCUUAACACAUGCAAGUCGAGGGGCAGCACAGGUAGCAAUACCGGGUGGCGACCGGCGCACGGGUGAGUAACGCGUAUGCAACUUACCUAUCAGAGGGGGAUAACCCGUCGAAAGUCGGACUAAUACCGCAUGAAGCAGGGGUCCCGCAUGGGGAUAUUUGCUAAAGAUUCAUCGCUGAUAGAUAGGCAUGCGUUCCAUUAGGCAGUUGGCGGGGUAACGGCCCACCAAACCGACGAUGGAUAGGGGUUCUGAGAGGAAGGUCCCCCACAUUGGUACUGAGACACGGACCAAACACCUACGGGAGGCAGCAGUGAGGAAUAUUGGUCAAUGGACGAGAGGCUGAACCAGCCAAGUCGCGUGAGGGAUGAAGGUUCUAUGGAUCGUAAACCUCUUUUAUAAGGGAAUAAAGUGCGGGACGUGUCCCGUUUUGUAUGUCCCUUAUGAAUAAGGAUCGGCUAACUCCGUG
RNAcentral lists this ribosomal RNA (485 nucleotides) under uncultured bacterium. Its description in RNAcentral is "partial 16S ribosomal RNA". It matches the Rfam family "Bacterial small subunit ribosomal RNA", at positions 28 to 507 of the family's 1533-position model. The record is from RNAcentral.